Molecule: unclassified non-coding RNA, 352 nt
Filed under: soil metagenome
Description: partial contains 5.8S ribosomal RNA, internal transcribed spacer 2, and large subunit ribosomal RNA
Rfam family: 5.8S ribosomal RNA (bases 1-120)
Source: RNAcentral
GAUGAAGAACGUAGCGAAAUGCGAUAAGUAAUGUGAAUUGCAGAAUUCAGUGAAUCAUCGAAUCUUUGAUCGCACAUUGCGCCCGCCAGUAUUCUGGCGGGCAUGCCUGUUCGAGCGUCAUUUCAACCCUCAGGCCCCCAGUGCCUGGUGUUGGGGAUCGGCCCAGCCUUCCUGUAAGGCCGCCGGCCCCGAAAUCUAGUGGCGGUCUCGCUGUAGUCCUCCUCUGCGUAGUAGCACAACCUCGCAGUUGGAACGCGGCGGUGGCCAUGCCGUUAAACACCCCACUUCUGAAAGUUGACCUCGGAUCAGGUAGGAAUACCCGCUGAACUUAAGCAUAUCAAUAAGCGGAGGA